UAUGGCUCAGGAUGAACGCUAGCUACAGGCUUAACACAUGCAAGUCGAGGGGCAGCGGGAUUGAAGCUUGCUUCAAUUGCCGGCGACCGGCGCACGGGUGAGUAACGCGUAUCCAACCUUCCGUACACUCAGGGAUAGCCUUUCGAAAGAAAGAUUAAUACCUGAUAGUAUCUUAAGCACACAUGUAAUUAAGAUUAAAGAUUUAUCGGUGUACGAUGGGGAUGCGUUCCAUUAGGUAGUAGGCGGGGUAACGGCCCACCUAGCCAACGAUGGAUAGGGGUUCUGAGAGGAAGGUCCCCCACAUUGGAACUGAGACACGGUCCAAACUCCUACGGGAGGCAGCAGUGAGGAAUAUUGGUCAAUGGACGAGAGUCUGAACCAGCCAAGUAGCGUGAAGGAUGAAGGUCCUACGGAUUGUAAACUUCUUUUAUAAGGGAAUAAACCCUCCCACGUGUGGGAGCUUGUAUGUACCUUAUGAAUAAGCAUCGGCUAACUCCGUGCCAGCAGCCGCGGUAAUACGGAGGAUGCGAGCGUUAUCCGGAUUUAUUGGGUUUAAAGGGAGCGCAGACGGGUCGUUAAGUCAGCUGUGAAAGUUUGGGGCUCAACCUUAAAAUUGCAGUUGAUACUGGCGUCCUUGAGUGCGGUUGAGGUGUGCGGAAUUCGUGGUGUAGCGGUGAAAUGCUUAGAUAUCACGAAGAACUCCGAUUGCGAAGGCAGCACACUAAUCCGUAACUGACGUUCAUGCUCGAAAGUGUGGGUAUCAAACAGGAUUAGAUACCCUGGUAGUCCACACGGUAAACGAUGGAUACUCGCUGUUGGCGAUAUACUGUCAGCGGCUUAGCGAAAGCGUUAAGUAUCCCACCUGGGGAGUACGCCGGCAGCGGUGCAACUCAAAUGAAUUGACGG
RNAcentral lists this ribosomal RNA (906 nucleotides) under uncultured Bacteroidota bacterium. Its description in RNAcentral is "bacterial SSU rRNA". It matches the Rfam family "Bacterial small subunit ribosomal RNA", at positions 18 to 916 of the family's 1533-position model. Lineage: Bacteria; Pseudomonadati; Bacteroidota. The record is from RNAcentral.